UCAGGACGAACGCUGGCGGCGUGCCUAAUACAUGCAAGUCGAACGGUCUUUCUAUGGAAGCUUGCUUCCACUGAGAAGAUAGUGGCGGACGGGUGAGUAACACGUGGGUAACCUGCCCAUAAGAGGGGGAUAACAUCCGGAAACGGGUGCUAAUACCGCAUAGUUUUCUUGAUCGCAUGAUCGGGAAAGGAAAGACGGCCUUUGUGCUGUCGCUUAUGGAUGGACCCGCGGCGUAUUAGUUAGUUGGUGAGGUAACGGCUCACCAAGACGAUGAUACGUAGCCGACCUGAGAGGGUGAUCGGCCACAUUGGGACUGAGACACGGCCCAAACUCCUACGGGAGGCAGCAGUAGGGAAUCUUCCGCAAUGGACGAAAGUCUGACGGAGCAACGCCGCGUGAGUGAAGAAAGGUUUUCGGAUCGUAAAACUCUGUUGUCAGAGAAGAACAAGUUGGAGAGUAACUGCUCCAGCCUUGACGGUAUCUGACCAGAAAGCCACGGCUAACUACGUGCCAGCCGCUGC
This 521-nucleotide ribosomal RNA is filed under the name uncultured bacterium. RNAcentral describes it as "bacterial SSU rRNA". It matches the Rfam family "Bacterial small subunit ribosomal RNA", at positions 24 to 518 of the family's 1533-position model. The record is from RNAcentral.